RNAcentral lists this ribosomal RNA (331 nucleotides) under uncultured eukaryote. Its description in RNAcentral is "partial 18S ribosomal RNA". It matches the Rfam family "Eukaryotic small subunit ribosomal RNA", at positions 1470 to 1796 of the family's 1831-position model. The record is from RNAcentral.
CCCUUAGAUGUUCUGGGCCGCACGCGCGCUACACUGUUCGACGCAGCGAGUCUUAACCUUGACCGAAAGGUUUGGGUAAUCUUCAGCAAAGUCGAACGUGAUGGGGAUCGAUCAUUGCAAUUAUUGAUCGUGAACGAGGAAUUCCUAGUAAGUGCAAGUCAUCAGCUUGCGCUGAUUACGUCCCUGCCCUUUGUACACACCGCCCGUCGCUACUACCGAUUGAAUGGUUUAGUGAGAUCUCUGGAUUGACGCUGGCUAGGGGGCGACCCUUGGCCAGACUGUUGAGAAACUGCUCAAACUUGAUCAUUUAGAGGAAGUAAAAGUCGUAUCA